RNAcentral lists this ribosomal RNA (796 nucleotides) under Gomphillus calycioides. RNAcentral describes it as "eukaryotic LSU rRNA". The stretch from base 1 to 569 matches the Rfam family "Eukaryotic large subunit ribosomal RNA", at positions 89 to 664 of the family's 3401-position model. The record is from RNAcentral. Lineage: Eukaryota; Fungi; Ascomycota; Lecanoromycetes; Ostropales; Graphidaceae.
GCGAGUGAAGCGGCAACAGCUCAGAUUUGAAAUCUAUUUAUUUAAUAAAUCGAAUUGUAAUCUGUAGAAGGUAGAAUGGCACGAAUAUUUUGAUUUAAAUUUAUUGGAAUAUAAUAUCAUAGAGGGUGAGAAUCCCGUUUUUAUCGAAAAAUAAUGCCGUCAGUUCUCCUUUCGACGAGUCGAGUUGUUUGGGAAUGCAGCUCUAAAUGGGUGGUAAAUUUCAUCUAAAGCUAAAUACCUGCCAGAGACCGAUAGCGAACAAGUAGAGUGAUCGAAAGAUGAAAAGCACUUUGAAAAGAGAGUUAAAUAGUACGUGAAAUUGUUGAAAGGGAAGCGCUUGCGAUUAGACUUGAUAAUUAAAUUCGAUCAAUUUAUUUUAAUUCGAUUUAUUUUUUAUUUUAUCAGGCCAGCAUCAGUUUGACGAUAUUUAUAAAAUUAAAAGAAAUGUAGUACCCACCUCGGUGGUUAUGUUAUAUUCUUUUAAAUAAUAAAUUUACAUUAGACUGAGGUCUGCCCUUUUUGGAAGGAUGCUGGCAUAAUGAUCGUAAGCGACCCGUCUUGAAACACGGAGUAUCGGUAACCAACAUUAUGCCGACAUCUUCAAAAGGGCACACUCGGCUGAUGAAAAGUUUAUUAUUUAAAAGAAUAUAAAUAACCCCGAGGUGGGUACUACAUUUCUUUUAAUUUUAUAAAUAUCGUCAACUGAUGCUGGCUGAUAAAAUAAAAAAAUAAAUCGAAUUAAAAUAAAUUGAUCGAAUUUAAUUAUCAGUCUAAUCGCAGGCGCUUCCUUUCCAAA